CAAUAGCGUAUAUUUAAGUUGCUGCAGUUAAAAAGCUCGUAGUUGGAUUUCGGGUGGGAAUGGCCGGUCCGCCGUUUCGGUGUGCACUUGCUACGCCCACCUUGCUGCCGGGGACGUGCUCUUGAGUUCACGCUCGGGACACGGAGUCGGCGAGGUUACUUUGAGUAAAUUAGAGUGUUCAAAGCAGGCCUACGCUCUGAAUACAUUAGCAUGGAAUAACACGAUAGGACUCUGGCCUAUCUUGUUGGUCUGUAGGACCGGAGUAAUGAUUAAGAGGGACAGUCGGGGGCAUUCGUAUUUCAUUGUCAGAGGUGAAAUUCUUGGAUUUAUGAAAGACGAACUACUGCGAAAGCAUUUGGCAAGGAUGUUUUCAUUAA
RNAcentral lists this ribosomal RNA (377 nucleotides) under uncultured eukaryote. Its description in RNAcentral is "partial 18S ribosomal RNA". It matches the Rfam family "Eukaryotic small subunit ribosomal RNA", at positions 592 to 976 of the family's 1831-position model. The record is from RNAcentral.